This 482-nucleotide ribosomal RNA is filed under the name uncultured bacterium. RNAcentral's name for it is "partial 16S ribosomal RNA". It matches the Rfam family "Bacterial small subunit ribosomal RNA", at positions 30 to 507 of the family's 1533-position model. The record is from RNAcentral.
AUUGAACGCUGGCGGCAUGCUUUACGCAUGCAAGUCGAACGGUAACAGGCCGCAAGGUGCUGACGAGUGGCGCACGGGUGAGUAAUGCAUCGGAACGUGCCCAGUCGUGGGGGAUAACUACUCGCAAGAGUAGCUAAUACCGCAUACGAUCUAUGGAUGAAAGCGGGGGACCGUAAGGCCUCGCGCGAUUGGAGCGGCCGAUGUCAGAUUAGGUAGUUGGUGGGGUAAAGGCUCACCAAGCCAACGAUCUGUAGCUGGUCUGAGAGGACGACCAGCCACACUGGGUCUGAGACACGGCCCAGACUCCUACGGGAGGCAGCAGUGGGGAAUUUUGGACAAUGGGCGCAAGCCUGAUCCAGCAAUGCCGCGUGCAGGAAGAAGGCCUUCGGGUUGUAAACUGCUUUUGUACGGAACGAAACGGCUCUGGUUAAUACCCGGGGCUAAUGACGGUACCGUAAGAAUAAGCACCGGCUAACUACGUG